RNAcentral lists this unclassified non-coding RNA (422 nucleotides) under Hevea brasiliensis (rubber tree). Lineage: Eukaryota; Viridiplantae; Streptophyta; Magnoliopsida; Malpighiales; Euphorbiaceae. The record is from RNAcentral.
ACAUCAAUCAGAAACUUAUCAUCACUUGUGUACACUUGAGGAUAUUUUUCACGAAAAGCACGGAUGGCAGCUUCAGUGCAUAGUGCCUUUAAAUCAGCACCACAAUACCCCACACAAUUAGCUGCAAGUUCCGAUUUUAGUUCCUUUGAAGGAGGUUGCUUCCAUUUUCGAGUGUGAAUGUCAAGUAUUUCAGCACGUGCCUCACAACCAGGCAAAGGAAAGUUAAAUUCACGAUCAAACCGACCAGGGCGACGCAAGGCUCCAUCAAUGGCAUCAACUCUGUUGGUUGCUCCAAUCAAAACAACUUGUCCACGAGAAUCUAGACCAUCCAUCAACGCAAGCAAAGUGGAAACAAUAGAAUUGUGUAUUUGCUCCUGUUUGCUUGACCUCACAGGAGCAAGUCCAUCUAUUUCAUCAAAAAA